RNAcentral lists this long non-coding RNA (446 nucleotides) under Lonchura striata (white-rumped munia). Its description in RNAcentral is "domestica (Bengalese finch) lncRNA (ENSLSDG00000005218.1)". Lineage: Eukaryota; Metazoa; Chordata; Aves; Passeriformes; Estrildidae. The record is from RNAcentral.
GCGCGGCCGCGCAGGCGCAGCGGCUCCGCGGGGCGCCCGGGGUCCGACCGGCGCGGCGCGGCACGGCGCGGCACGGCACGGCACGGCACGGCGCGGCACGGCACGGCACGGCACGGCGCGGCGCGGCACGGCACGGCACGGCGCGGCACGGCGCGGCACGGCGCGGCACGGCACGGCACGGCACGGCACGGCGCGGCGCGGCACGGCGCGGCACGGCGCGGCACGGCACGGCGCGGCGCGGCACGGCCCCACCGAGCCCCACCGAGCCCGGCGAGCGGCCGGACAUCGGACAGUUCACUGAUUUUGGUUUUGAAGGCUCAUCAUAUGACAGAGAUAACUUGAAGAGAUCUUGCACAGUCUUGAAGGUUGUUUGUCUGCAUUUUGAAUUGCAGUAAGUAUAGCUGGUUUAAGCCGGUUUUAUUUAGGAAAUAGUAAAAAAUGCAUAC